AACGAACGCUGGCGGCAUGCCUAACACAUGCAAGUCGAACGAGACCUUCGGGUAUAGUGGCGCACGGGUGCGUAACGCGUGGGAACCUGCCCUUAGGUUCGGAAUAACUCCCCGAAAGGGGUGCUAAUACCGGAUAAUGUCUUCGGACCAAAGAUUUAUCGCCUUUGGAUGGGCCCGCGUUGGAUUAGCUAGUUGGUAGGGUAAAAGCCUACCAAGGCGACGAUCCAUAGCUGGUCUGAGAGGAUGAUCAGCCACACUGGGACUGAGACACGGCCCAGACUCCUACGGGAGGCAGCAGUGGGGAAUAUUGGACAAUGGGCGAAAGCCUGAUCCAGCAAUGCCGCGUGAGUGAUGAAGGCCUGAGGGUUGUAAAGCUCUUUUACCCGGGAUGAUAAUGGCAGUACCGGGAGAAUAAGCUCCGGCUAACUCCGUG
Molecule: ribosomal RNA, 433 nt
Filed under: uncultured bacterium
Lineage: Bacteria
Description: partial 16S ribosomal RNA
Rfam family: Bacterial small subunit ribosomal RNA
Source: RNAcentral